UGCCAUGGUAUACCUGAUAAGCUGCAGCUCUUCCGUGUGCAGGCAGAAGGUUGGCCGCAGCUGUACAUCUGUGCGGCUUUAUGGUCUCUCAUGUUUAGCUCCUCCUGCUCCCUCCGUCCCAGGCAACCACGGACCCCGAAGACCAGCUUUCGUCGUCCUGACUUCUGUGUUGAUAGGGCCAUAGACUACUAACAGGCAUUGCCGGUUUAACACAAGUUUGCUGCUCCAGUAAGAGAGAGAAACGCUUGCGUCCCCUCGAGAGUCGCGGUGAGCGUUCAGGAGCCCCGAGCUCUGAGUUCCAGCGGCACGUGCGCCUCUUGGGCAGCGGGGCUCCCUGUUUCGGGAAUAGAGAGAAGGAUGAUGGCUGCAGCUGGAGGACCGUCCAAAUGUCCUCUGCAGAGAGAGUAAGAGUGGCUCUUUCCCUCCCCGCAGGGAGAGCAGCUGCCCUGUUGACUUUGCUGCCCGUGUGCAGUUUCAGCCGAGAGCGUUUCCAUCCUCCAUGGAAGAGCCCGCUGGCCCAGGGUGUCGGCGGCCCCAUGGGCAGGGUCCACUAGGACUUGGUGUCCCUGGCGUGGCUGGGCUCUAGGUCCGUGCAUGAGGGCGGUUGAGACAAGGUUUUCUCCUCCGUGUCUCCAAAAGACCGUCGGUCUCCCACAAGCUUCUGGGAAACCCAUGCAAGAUCUGUCCGAUACAUAAGGAUGCAAUUUCACGCAUGACAGCUCAAUAAAGCAUAUUUAAU
Molecule: long non-coding RNA, 739 nt
Organism: Callithrix jacchus (white-tufted-ear marmoset)
Lineage: Eukaryota; Metazoa; Chordata; Mammalia; Primates; Cebidae
Source: RefSeq, a predicted model, not a curated record